Molecule: ribosomal RNA, 485 nt
Filed under: uncultured bacterium
Lineage: Bacteria
Description: bacterial SSU rRNA
Rfam family: Bacterial small subunit ribosomal RNA
Source: RNAcentral
AUUGAACGCUGGCGGCAUGCCUUACACAUGCAAGUCGAACGGCAGCACGGGAGCAAUCCUGGUGGCGAGUGGCGAACGGGUGAGUAAUAUAUCGGAACGUGCCCAGUCGUGGGGGAUAACGUAGCGAAAGCUACGCUAAUACCGCAUACGAUCUACGGAUGAAAGCGGGGGAUCGCAAGACCUCGCGCGAUUGGAGCGGCCGAUAUCAGAUUAGCUAGUUGGUGGGGUAAAAGCUCACCAAGGCGACGAUCUGUAGCUGGUCUGAGAGGACGACCAGCCACACUGGAACUGAGACACGGUCCAGACUCCUACGGGAGGCAGCAGUGGGGAAUUUUGGACAAUGGGCGCAAGCCUGAUCCAGCAAUGCCGCGUGGCAGGAUGAAGGCCUCGGUUGUAAACUGCUUUUGUAACGGUACGAAACGGUAGGAGCGUCUAAUAAAGACUUGCUAAUGACGGUACCGUUAAGAAUAAGACACCGGCUAACU